GAUGAACGCUGGCGGCGUGCCUAAUACAUGCCAGUCGAGCGAACAGACGAGGAGCUUGCUCCUCUGACGUUAGCGGCGGACGGGUGAGUAACACGUGGAUAACCUACCUAUAAGACUGGGAUAACGUCGGGAAACCGGAGCUAAUACCGGAUAAUAUAUUGAACCGCAUGGUUCAAUAGUGAAAGACGGUUUUGCUGUCACUUAGAGAUGGAUCCGCGCCGCAUUAGCUAGUUGGUAAGGUAACGGCUUACCAAGGCAACGAUGCGUAGCCGACCUGAGAGGGUGAUCGGCCACACUGGAACUGAGACACGGUCCAGACUCCUACGGGAGGCAGCAGUAGGGAAUCUUCCGCAAUGGGCGAAAGCCUGACGGAGCCACGCCGCGUGAGUGAUGAAGGUCUUCGGAUCGUAAAACUCUGUUAUUAGGGAAGAACAAAUGUGUAAGUAACUAUGCACGUCUUGACGGUACCUAAUCAGAAAGCCACGGCUAACUACGUG
RNAcentral lists this ribosomal RNA (497 nucleotides) under uncultured bacterium. Its description in RNAcentral is "partial 16S ribosomal RNA". It matches the Rfam family "Bacterial small subunit ribosomal RNA", at positions 28 to 507 of the family's 1533-position model. The record is from RNAcentral.